Molecule: non-coding RNA, 28 nt
Filed under: Mus musculus (house mouse)
Lineage: Eukaryota; Metazoa; Chordata; Mammalia; Rodentia; Muridae
Source: RNAcentral
UCCAGCCAUGCCCGUUGUAGCACACAUC